RNAcentral lists this unclassified non-coding RNA (253 nucleotides) under uncultured Actinomycetes bacterium. Its description in RNAcentral is "uncultured actinobacterium contains 16S-23S intergenic spacer region". It matches the Rfam family "Bacterial small subunit ribosomal RNA", at positions 524 to 776 of the family's 1533-position model. The record is from RNAcentral. Lineage: Bacteria; Bacillati; Actinomycetota; Actinomycetes.
UACGUAGGGUGCGAGCGUUGUCCGGAAUUAUUGGGCGUAAAGAGCUCGUAGGCGGUCUGUCGCGACGGAUGUGAAAGCCCGGGGCUUAACCCCGGGUCUGCAUUCGAUACGGGCAGACUUGAGUGUGGUAGGGGAGAUCGGAAUUCCUGGUGUAGCGGGGAAAUGCGCAGAUAUCAUGAGGAACACCGGUGGCGAAGGCGGAUCUCUGGGUCAUUACUGACGCUGAGGAGCGAAAGCGUUGGGAUCGAACAGG